Molecule: transfer RNA, 67 nt
Filed under: Schistosoma japonicum
Lineage: Eukaryota; Metazoa; Platyhelminthes; Trematoda; Strigeidida; Schistosomatidae
Description: tRNA-Tyr
Source: RNAcentral
AUCGACUUAGUAUAAGAGUUUAAUACUAGAAAUUGUAAAUUUCUAAAUAGGUUAUUCCUAGUCGAAA